Molecule: ribosomal RNA, 746 nt
Filed under: Salmonella enterica subsp. enterica serovar Typhimurium
Lineage: Bacteria; Pseudomonadati; Pseudomonadota; Gammaproteobacteria; Enterobacterales; Enterobacteriaceae
Description: partial 23S ribosomal RNA
Rfam family: Bacterial large subunit ribosomal RNA
Source: RNAcentral
UACGUCCUUGCCGGCAGAGAAAGCCAAUGCGAUUUCCUGAGUAGCGGCGAGCGAAACGGAACAUAGCCCAAACCAAGAGGCUUGCCUCUUGGGGUUGUAGGACAUUCUAUACGGAGUUACAAAGGAACGAGGUAGACGAAGCGACCUGGAAAGGUCCGUCGUAGAGGGUAACAACCCCGUAGUCGAAACUUCGUUCUCUCUUGAAUGUAUCCUGAGUACGGCGGAACACGUGAAAUUCCGUCGGAAUCUGGGAGGACCAUCUCCCAAGGCUAAAUACUCCCUAGUGAUCGAUAGUGAACCAGUACCGUGAGGGAAAGGUGAAAAGCACCCCGGAAGGGGAGUGAAAGAGAUCCUGAAACCGUGUGCCUACAAAUAGUCAGAGCCCGUUAACGGGUGAUGGCGUGCCUUUUGUAGAAUGAACCGGCGAGUUACGAUCCCGUGCGAGGUUAAGCUGAAGAGGCGGAGCCGCAGCGAAAGCGAGUCUGAAUAGGGCGUUUAGUACGUGGUCGUAGACCCGAAACCAGGUGAUCUACCCAUGUCCAGGGUGAAGUUCAGGUAACACUGAAUGGAGGCCCGAACCCACGCACGUUGAAAAGUGCGGGGAUGAGGUGUGGGUAGCGGAGAAAUUCCAAUCGAACCUGGAGAUAGCUGGUUCUCCCCGAAAUAGCUUUAGGGCUAGCCUUAAGUGUAAGAGUCUUGGAGGUAGAGCACUGAUUGGACUAGGGGUCCUCAUCGGAUUACCGAAU